RNAcentral lists this non-coding RNA (148 nucleotides) under Pan troglodytes (chimpanzee). Lineage: Eukaryota; Metazoa; Chordata; Mammalia; Primates; Hominidae. The record is from Rfam by way of RNAcentral.
GCUGGGUGUGGUGGUGCACACCUGUAAUCCCAGCUACUUGGGGGGCUGAGGCAGGAGAAUCGCUUGAGCCCAGGAGGCGGAGGUUGCAGUGAGCCGAGAUCAUGCCACUGCACUCCAGCCUGAGCAACACAGCAGGACUCUGUCUCAA